This 433-nucleotide ribosomal RNA is filed under the name uncultured bacterium. Its description in RNAcentral is "partial 16S ribosomal RNA". It matches the Rfam family "Bacterial small subunit ribosomal RNA", at positions 29 to 507 of the family's 1533-position model. The record is from RNAcentral.
AGCGAACGCUGGCGGCAGGCCUAACACAUGCAAGUCGAACGGAUCAUUCGGGCUUAGUGGCGGACGGGUGAGUAACCCGUGGGAACGUGCCCUUUGGUUCGGAACAACUCAGGGAAACAUGAGCUAAUACCGGCUGUGCUCUUCGGGGGAAAGAUUUAUCGCCAUUGGAGCGGCCUGCGUCUGAUUAGCUAGUUGGUGAGGUAACGGCCCACCAAGGCGACGAUCAGUAGCUGGUUUGUGAGGAUGAUCAGCCACACUGGGACUGAGACACGGCCCAGACUCCUACGGGAGGCAGCAGUGGGGAAUCUUGCGCAAUGGGCGAAAGCCUGACGCAGCCAUGCCGCGUGAAUGAUGAAGGUCUUAGGAUUGUAAAAUUCUUUCAGCGGGGACGAUAAUGACGGUACCCGCAGAAGAAGCUCCGGCUAACUUCGUG